CCAGUUCAGAGCAAAAUCCAGACCUCUGGCGCUCCCAUUCCCCCCCCAUAAAUAGCCGCGGCGCCCGCUCCACUCCCCUCUCUGUCUCUGUCCAGCGCCUUCCUCCUCCCAUUACUCGCGCCGCGACGCCGACACACACCACCACCUCCCCGCCGCCCAGCCCAGCGCAGCGUCCAGCCCGCCCCCAUGUCGUCCGCCUACGCGUCGCGGCACCGCGGCAGCGGCAUGUCCACGACGACGGUGCUCGCGGCCAAGGUGGCGUUCGCGUCCGCCGCGCUGGCCGCGGCCGCGUCCUUCGCGCGCCUCGCAGUCCCGCAGCUCGUGUCCGUGGCCGGCGCCGUGCUCCCGCGCGCCUGGGCCGUCGCGCGCUUCUGGCUCGUCCCGCCCUACCUCUUCGUCACCGUGCACCUCAUCAUCCUCGUCAUCUGGAAGCUCUCCGACCACAAGCACUUCCAGCAAGCCCAGGCGGCGCACCAGCACAAGGACCCCUGGCCGGUUUCUCAGCAGCACACGCCACCGGCCGCCGUCACGGCCUCCGACGUGGCUGCCCCCGCCGCCGUCAAGGUCAAGGAGGAGUUCGACUUCUCGGCCGGGUACGGCGAGCCCCUGGAGCGCGAGUUCUCCCCGGACUCCGGCGGCGGCGAGUCCUGCGUCACCACGGAGUCCGACGAGGACGCCACUUCCUCCCCGUCCUACGUCUCGGACGUGAGGCGCAGCCUGGCGCCGGCGCACCAACACGCGGUUCUUGAGCGGGAACCUUCGUUGCCGUCCCAGACCGUGGACGGCGACGGCGACGACGACCUGGACGCCACGUGGAACGCCAUCAUGCAGAAGACCCGCCCGGCUGCUGCUGCCGCGGCGCCGGCGCCUCCCCCUCCCGCGCAGCAAUCGCCGCAGCGGCCGCCGCCGAGGGCGCGGGACCCGUCGGUCGGCGCGGAGGAGAUGAACCGACGGUUCGACGACUUCAUCAAGAAGAACCGCAACUCCUUCGGGCGGCAAUAGGCGUCCUCCGAUCCGACGCCGCCUCCCCGCCGCAGCCGUACGAUACGUAUAUAGACACAUGCAUCUUUGGUUUUUGAUCUUGGUGUGCCGCCGAAGAGAUCGCGGGAGCGGAGGGAGGCGGGUCAAUCGAAUCGCAAUGCUUAGGCUGCGAAGGUUCUGGAUGGAUUAUUGGAUGGAGGUGCUGUGGGAGUAGCUAGAGAUGACCUUAAUGCGCUGAAAUGAUGGUUUGAGUUGGUACCUGGCUGUUAGGUUCUCCUUUUCAGUUGUUGCCCUUGCUAGCCUGGCAUUUGUUCUUAGCUUUUCCCUUUUUUCUUUUCUUUUCCUACAGCUCUUUUACUGAUUAUAACAGUGCUAAUUGUGCAAGUUCAUAUAUGGUGCUAAUACUGGUGAAGUAGUGGGUGUGCCUGUGGUUAUAUAUGAACUGUUGCUACCACAUGGGGUGUGUUUGUCUGUGUGGAAUAGAGAGAUGCACAUGUCAAUGACCAUACAUGCACUUCCUUUGCUCCA
Panicum hallii is the source of this 1509-nucleotide RNA transcript. RefSeq lists it as uncharacterized. The transcript has 2 exons. NCBI's taxonomy places the organism in Eukaryota, Viridiplantae, Streptophyta, Magnoliopsida, Poales, Poaceae. The record is from RefSeq and is a predicted model, not a curated record.